AUACCUUUCUCGGCCUCUGGCUAAGAUCAAGUGUAGUAUCUGUUCUUAUCAGUUUAAUAUCUGAUAUGUGAUCCUACGGGUUCACAUGAUAUAUUAAAUUAAUUUUUUCUGGGGAAGGGACAGCCUCAGUAGCUCGCUGCUGGGCUCCUAGGGUCGACUGAGCAUUGCACUACUGCUCUCGCUUGGCGCACCCCAA
Molecule: small nuclear RNA, 196 nt
Organism: Lolium perenne
Lineage: Eukaryota; Viridiplantae; Streptophyta; Magnoliopsida; Poales; Poaceae
Product: U2 spliceosomal RNA
Source: RefSeq, a predicted model, not a curated record